Molecule: ribosomal RNA, 389 nt
Filed under: uncultured bacterium
Lineage: Bacteria
Description: bacterial SSU rRNA
Rfam family: Bacterial small subunit ribosomal RNA
Source: RNAcentral
GACGAACGCUGGCGGCGUGCUUAACACAUGCAAGUCGAGCGGUAAGGCCCUUUCGGGGGUACACGAGCGGCGAACGGGUGAGUAACACGUGGGUGACCUGCCCUCCAGCUCUGGGAUAAGCCUGGGAAACCGGGUACUAAUACCGGAUAUGACUCCAUGACGCAUGUUGUGGGGUGGAAAGCCUUGUGCGGCUGAGGAUGGGCCCGCGGCCUAUCAGCUUGUUGGUGGGGUGAUGGCCUACCAAGGCGACGACGGGUAGCCGGCCUGAGAGGGCGACCGGCCACACUGGGACUGAGACACGGCCCAGACUCCUACGGGAGGCAGCAGUGGGGAAUCUUGCGCAAUGGGCGAAAGCCUGACGCAGCGACGCCGCGUGAGGGAUGACGGCC